Molecule: ribosomal RNA, 253 nt
Filed under: uncultured bacterium
Lineage: Bacteria
Description: partial 16S ribosomal RNA
Rfam family: Bacterial small subunit ribosomal RNA
Source: RNAcentral
UACGUAGGUGGCAAGCGUUGUCCGGAUUUACUGGGUGUAAAGGGCGUGCAGCCGGAGAGACAAGUCAGAUGUGAAAUCCACGGGCUCAACCCGUGAACUGCAUUUGAAACUGUUUCCCUUGAGUGUCGGGGAGGUAAUCGGAAUUCCUUGUGUAGCGGUGAAAUGCGUAGAUAUAAGGAAGAACACCAGUGGCGAAGGCGGAUUACUGGACGAUAACUGACGGUGAGGCGCGAAAGCGUGGGGAGCAAACAGG